UCUCUUUGGUUAAAUAGGUGUUAAAUUAAGUGAUGCAUCGAAGAAACUGGGAAAGAAGUUUGCAACAGGAGCAUCUAUUGUUAAGGGUCCAACUGAGAAGGAGCAAAUUGAUGUCCAAGGGGAUAUUUCAUAUGAUAUAGUAGAAUUCAUCACAGAAACUUGGCGAGAGGUGCCAGAGUCUGCAAUUUUCUUCAUU
Molecule: long non-coding RNA, 196 nt
Organism: Dendrobium catenatum
Lineage: Eukaryota; Viridiplantae; Streptophyta; Magnoliopsida; Asparagales; Orchidaceae
Exons: 3
Source: RefSeq, a predicted model, not a curated record